GGCGGGUUAGCGUAAUGGUUAACGCGUCAGUUUCCGGCCGUGUAAUGUUAGCUGAAGAUUCCGGGUUCGAGUCCCGGGCCUGUCG
Molecule: non-coding RNA, 85 nt
Organism: Blastosporella zonata
Lineage: Eukaryota; Fungi; Basidiomycota; Agaricomycetes; Agaricales; Lyophyllaceae
Source: the annotation of a GenBank genome assembly